Molecule: long non-coding RNA, 544 nt
Organism: Triticum dicoccoides
Lineage: Eukaryota; Viridiplantae; Streptophyta; Magnoliopsida; Poales; Poaceae
Exons: 2
Source: RefSeq, a predicted model, not a curated record
GCGGGCGACUUCGGCCGAGGAAAGGAUAGGAUAGCGUAACUGGAAGGACUGGCUCUUUUGCAAGCAAAACCACAGGCUGCGCAUCGAUGCUUCCAUCCGUCCGUCCGCUGGCGAAGGCAGGCAGCAGAAUGAUCCCAGGAGCCCUGGCGCGUACCCGGCCACACGACGGCGGUCGGGAGGGACAUCGAUCGUCAUUGCCGGCGCAGCACCGUACCUGGCCCAUGAUUCUGCCGGAGUCCUAUCCUCUCCUCUCCAUGCAUCAUCUGCUUCUGCUGCCUUCACAAGACAUCAGAGAAAAUGUGCGUAUACCGCAACAGGUGCAACCCUGCGUCUUGGCUGGCUGCCUCUUGGAAACUAGACAUCGUGUUGAUGGAUGUCGCAACCCUGCUGCCGUACCCUCUUUUCUUUCUUUCUUUCUUUUGAUGAGGUUGCACUGCUGUAAGUUGACAUAGGGGCGGAACUAUAUCCUCGCGUCCGUCGAACUGUAAAAUUUGGACAAACUAAGAAUUUCUUUGGACGUGGUCAAAGUGUCCGUCCCCUACAA